RNAcentral lists this ribosomal RNA (320 nucleotides) under uncultured eukaryote. RNAcentral describes it as "partial 18S ribosomal RNA". It matches the Rfam family "Eukaryotic small subunit ribosomal RNA", at positions 1470 to 1796 of the family's 1831-position model. The record is from RNAcentral.
CCCUUAGAUGUUCUGGGCUGCACGCGUGCUACAAUGGCGCUUGCAACAAGUCUUGCCAACCCGAUAGGGUGAGCGGAUCUUUGAAGAGGCGUCGUGAUCGGGACAGUUGAUUGCAAUUAUUCGACUCGAACGAGGAAUUCCUUGUAAUCGCGAUUCAUCAUAUCGCGCUGAAUACGUCCCUGCCCUUUGUACACACCGCCCGUCGCUCCUACCGAUUGAGCGAUCCGGUGAAUGUUUUGGACUGGCGUCAGAAGCGGUUCGCUCCUGACACUACGAAAUUUUGUAAACCUUAUCGCUUAGAGGAAGGAAAAGGCGUAACA